This is a long non-coding RNA of Alosa sapidissima (American shad), 813 nucleotides long. RefSeq lists it as uncharacterized. The record is from RefSeq and is a predicted model, not a curated record. The transcript is spliced from 4 exons. NCBI's taxonomy places the organism in Eukaryota, Metazoa, Chordata, Actinopteri, Clupeiformes, Clupeidae.
UAGAUGGAACACACAGACAUUUCAUGGAAACUUUCCAAAAGAUCCAGGUGAUGCAUUUUACAGAAUCACAAUGGUGAAUCAAGUUAAUGGCCAAGCUAGCUGCUACACCAAAGCUUCUGAAUCUCUUCCAAGCCAAGGGUGGAACCAUAGGGUUGAGGUUGCAGGCCAUCCUACUCAAGGCUCCAACCAAUCCUAACGCUAACUUGACCAGAGAUGUUGUCAUCGGUGUUUCGGGGAUCUUUAGAUCAUCUUCUAAAAAAGUAUGAUGAUGCUGAUGAAGAUAGUGUGCCACAGGACCUUGCUGUACAAAAAAUGGAAAUCAACAGCAUCGAGACCAAUACAUCAGAGGGUCCCGAUGACGUUGGUAUCGUGGUAGAGGGAAUGAAAGUUCUGACUGCUCUGGAUAACUUUCCAAGGGCUUGCUCCAUGCUCCUUGGGUGGACAUAUUCAGUGAAUCCAGCCUAUACCAAGGAGCCCAGAUAUACGUUUGAAAUCCCCCAGAAACUCCUCUUUGAGCUGGACUGUUCAAAGCCAAAAGGUGAACAUUCUCAAGAACAAACUGCUAGCUUAGGAAAAUGGACCCUUGCAAAAUGAAAAGGAAUUGUUAAGUCUCUGUCAAAUGUCACAUGGUUACCUUCAAAUGCUUGAGUUGCUCAACCAUACUCAUUUUAAGAGAAGUGACUUUUUUUACUUAUAAUUGGAAAAAUUAUCUUGUGAUUCUACUGUUUACAACAAGGAUGAAAAUUGGACAUGAUUUAGUCAAAGAAUUUCAGUUACACAAAUGAGUAAUGUGAUCGUUCCAGUAGAAAUUAA